GGAGGUUUUAUUUCUGUGUUUGUUCUGACACCAGGCAGGUUUCAGGGAUGACCUUCUCUAGGAGUUCCUGAAUAAAUGUGCGGUUUCCUGGGUAGUUUCUGAGAAAAACAAUCACAAAAACAUACUUUGCUGAGGCGAUGAGCUGGGCACUGUGAACCCCAUCUUCAAAAUCGGUCUGAAUAAUGAGGAUUUUAGAAUCGGCUGGGUGAGUUAAGCAGUUUCUGAAAGCAAAAGGACAUUUUCCAGGUGAGUGCUCUGCCCCAGACAUGGUGCGACCCGCCCCCAGGCGAUGGGAAACACAAGCGGCCCGUGGCCAAAGCUAUCCAGGUGGGGUGUUCCUCCGUCAGGCCAGGGAAUAAGGCAGAGGAGAAAGAGGAAGGCCCCGAUCAACGCCUGCUUCCUAAGGAAAUACACGGAAGCUGGCUUCAGAGGACAGCGCAGUCGAGAGGGACCCUUGGAGAAUGUGACGUUCUUCCCAGAGGCACAGUCCCCAGGGCUCGCCGGCCAACUCGGGUGAGAACGGCGGCGGCGGUGGAGGAAAUGCCGAGGGGUGGGGGCGGAGGGCAGGCGGGGACCCUCACCGGACGUCCUUGAGGAACGCGUACUCGGUGUCGAACUGCUGCAGGGACAGGACCGUGAGCUUCAGAGCCCUGUCCUUUAGCUCCGAUUCUAGAAGUUCACAGUCAUGACUGGUGAGCAGUCUGGAGAAGGUGUGGAUGUCCAGAUAGUGCUUCUCCAGCCGGUUGAUGAGGGGGAUGGGGAAGCGCUGGUACACGACGUCCUUCUCCUCAAUGACGAUCAGGCGGAAGUCCGGGUGGACCCGACACUUGACCCGAUGGGUCCCCAGCCCGAGGUCCACAUACUUCUGGCCGCCGAGGUAGACGUAGUACUGAUUGAGGGCGUCGUACAGGCUCUCGUAGAGGUUCUGCAGGUNNNNNNNNNNNNNNNNNNCAGCACCACCAUCCUGCCGGUUUCCAUGCAGAUCUUCACGCGGUUGAUGUUUCGGCAGAUCUGGGUGUACUCCUGGUCCCUGGGAAAACUGGAGCCAAAGAUGACCUCUGGCAGGUCGUCGGCGAAGAAGGCCUGCUGCAGGAUCUGCAGGGCCACGUAGUUCCUGGUGAGCACGAGCAGGUAGCGGGACUCGGCGCCCUCCAGCUCCGGGCCCGGGGCCUUCCGAAGGUCCCCGUACAUGUUCUGCCGGAUCAGCUCCAUGGUGCUGACGUCCUCUGCGCACUUGGCCUCGGGCAAGCUGGCCGAGAAGAUGGCCAGAGCCUGGAUGUCGUCUUUGCCGCUGAAGUUCCGCAGGACGGCUCGUGCGAUGUCCUCCGAGGACGGCUCCCGGUUAGACGCCUUCGCCGCGGCAAAGACCAUUUUGAUGAGGCUGUAGUAGUCACGGAGCCCGAAGAACUCCUUGUCCUGGCUCUCACACACGGUUUCGUAGGCCUUGGCGAAGGCUGCAAAGUAGCCCUGGAUCCUCUCCUGGA
Molecule: long non-coding RNA, 1484 nt
Filed under: Sus scrofa (pig)
Lineage: Eukaryota; Metazoa; Chordata; Mammalia; Artiodactyla; Suidae
Description: lncRNA (ENSSSCG00005036379.1)
Source: RNAcentral